UGGGGAAUUUUGGACAAUGGGCGAAAGCCUGAUCCAGCAAUGCCGCGUGUGUGAAGAAGGCCUUCGGGUUGUAAAGCACUUUUGUCCGGAAAGAAAUCCUUGGCUCUAAUACAGUCGGGGGAUGACGGUACCGGAAGAAUAAGCACCGGCUAACUACGUGCCAGCAGCCGCGGUAAUACGUAGGGUGCAAGCGUUAAUCGGAAUUACUGGGCGUAAAGCGUGCGCAGGCGGUUUGCUAAGACCGAUGUGAAAUCCCGGGCUCAACCUGGGAACCGCAUUGGUGACUGGCAGGCUAGAGUAUGGCAGAGGGGGGUAGAAUUCCACGUGUAGCAGUGAAAUGCGUAGAGAUGUGGAGGAAUACCGAUGGCGAAGGCAGCCCCCUGGGCCAAUACUGACGCUCAUGCACGAAA
RNAcentral lists this ribosomal RNA (410 nucleotides) under uncultured bacterium. RNAcentral's name for it is "partial 16S ribosomal RNA". It matches the Rfam family "Bacterial small subunit ribosomal RNA", at positions 355 to 758 of the family's 1533-position model. The record is from RNAcentral.